CCAUUGGAGGGCAAGUCUGGU
RNAcentral lists this non-coding RNA (21 nucleotides) under Arabidopsis thaliana (thale cress). Lineage: Eukaryota; Viridiplantae; Streptophyta; Magnoliopsida; Brassicales; Brassicaceae. The record is from RNAcentral. RNAcentral also lists the same sequence under 1 other name.